GACGAACGCUGGCGGCGUGCUUAACACAUGCAAGUCGAACGGAAAGGCCCUGCUUUGGUGCGCUGCGCGGCGGGCGACCGGGGGAGUAACACGUGAGUACCCUAUACCUCCCUGUGGGAUGACCUAAGACCGCUGGGGCUAAUACCGGCUAGGAGCUCCUGCCGCAUGGUGGGGGUGGGAUAGUUUCGGCGGUUGGGGAUGGACUCGCGGCUCAUCAGCUUGUUGGUGGGGUAGUGGCUUACCAAGGCUUUGACGGGUAGCAGGCCUGAGAGGGUGAGCGGACAAGUUAGGACUGAGAUACGGCCCGGACUAGUAUCGUAGGCAAGAGUGGGGAGUAUUGCACAAGGGGAGGGAGCCUGAUGUGGCAACGCCGCGUGCGGGAAGAGGGGCUUCGGGUAGUAAUCCGCUUUCCUCUGUGACGAAGCGUGAGUGACGGUAACGGGAGAAGAAGCACCGGCUAACUACGUG
RNAcentral lists this ribosomal RNA (468 nucleotides) under uncultured bacterium. RNAcentral describes it as "partial 16S ribosomal RNA". It matches the Rfam family "Bacterial small subunit ribosomal RNA", at positions 28 to 507 of the family's 1533-position model. The record is from RNAcentral.